Long non-coding RNA from Brassica oleracea var. oleracea, 588 nucleotides. RefSeq lists it as uncharacterized. The record is from RefSeq and is a predicted model, not a curated record. Lineage: Eukaryota; Viridiplantae; Streptophyta; Magnoliopsida; Brassicales; Brassicaceae. The transcript has 4 exons.
UGCUUUUAGAUAAUAAGCCCGGUGGCCCAUUAUCAUCAACCCUAAUUGCGUUGACGGGAGAAAUCUAGCUUCGGGUUUCGUGCUCCUCUUCGUUACACGGCGGCACCUGUUCUGCUUCUCCGAACUCUGAAACGGCUCGAGUUAUGGUUUUAUAAAUAUGUCAGUACUUCUCCUCCUCAAAUCAUAUGUUUCUCCUAUUUUAGUAUACAUAUUCACGGUGAUAUGUCUAAAUCGAUGAUGUUUUGGUCCGAUUUGAAGUCCGGCGACCAUAACGCAGGCCACCAUUAAUGCUAACCGGCGUCCAACAUUCCGACCUAGACUCACGGCCGGUUCGAUGUGUUUCGAUUUGUUCAAGAGCCGGUACUAUGAUAGGUACCCUUAGAUCUGUGAGAAAUGCUCUGAGUAAUGGUGAACAAAACAGAUAGAAGAGUUCGAGGAUCUGGGUCCAGCGAGUUGAGUAGUAACACAGAAAAAAGUUUGGGCGCUGACAGAACACACCAAACGUUCACGUUGACACGAGAGUCUCGAGCUCCGGUGAUCAUACCGACAUUGCAUCACAAUUAUCUCACGUGAGGUCCCGAUCAUUAA